AAAGAAAGCGUAAUAGCUCACUGGUCGAGUCGGCCUGCGCGGAAGAUGUAACGGGGCUAAACCAUGCACCGAAGCUGCGGCAGCGACGCUUAUGCGUUGUUGGGUAGGGGAGCGUUCUGUAAGCCUGUGAAGGUGUACUGUGAGGUAUGCUGGAGGUAUCAGAAGUGCGAAUGCUGACAUAAGUAACGAUAAAGCGGGUGAAAAGCCCGCUCGC
This 214-nucleotide ribosomal RNA is filed under the name Escherichia coli. RNAcentral's name for it is "partial 23S ribosomal RNA". It matches the Rfam family "Bacterial large subunit ribosomal RNA", at positions 1125 to 1337 of the family's 2925-position model. The record is from RNAcentral. Lineage: Bacteria; Pseudomonadati; Pseudomonadota; Gammaproteobacteria; Enterobacterales; Enterobacteriaceae.